GAUGAACGCUGGCGGCGUGCCUAAUACAUGCAAGUCGAGCGAACAGAUAAGGAGCUUGCUCCUUUGACGUUAGCGGCGGACGGGUGAGUAACACGUGGGUAACCUACCUAUAAGACUGGGAUAACUUCGGGAAACCGGAGCUAAUACCGGAUAACAUUUGGAACCGCAUGGCUCUAAAGUGAAAGAUGGUUUUGCUAUCACUUAUAGAUGGACCCGCGCCGUAUUAGCUAGUUGGUAAGGUAACGGCUUACCAAGGCAACGAUACGUAGCCGACCUGAGAGGGUGAUCGGCCACACUGGAACUGAGACACGGUCCAGACUCCUACGGGAGGCAGCAGUAGGGAAUCUUCCGCAAUGGGCGAAAGCCUGACGGAGCAACGCCGCGUGAGUGAUGAAGGGUUUCGGCUCGUAAAACUCUGUUAUUAGGGAAGAACAAAUGUGUAAGUAACUGUGCACGUCUUGACGGUACCUAAUCAGAAAGCCACGGCUAACUACGUG
This 497-nucleotide ribosomal RNA is filed under the name uncultured bacterium. RNAcentral's name for it is "partial 16S ribosomal RNA". It matches the Rfam family "Bacterial small subunit ribosomal RNA", at positions 28 to 507 of the family's 1533-position model. The record is from RNAcentral.